This 730-nucleotide ribosomal RNA is filed under the name uncultured Micromonospora sp. Its description in RNAcentral is "bacterial SSU rRNA". It matches the Rfam family "Bacterial small subunit ribosomal RNA", at positions 77 to 823 of the family's 1533-position model. Lineage: Bacteria; Bacillati; Actinomycetota; Actinomycetes; Micromonosporales; Micromonosporaceae. The record is from RNAcentral.
CCUUCGGGGUACUCGAGCGGCGAACGGGUGAGUAACACGUGAGCAACCUGCCCCAGGCUUUGGGAUAACCCCGGGAAACCGGGGCUAAUACCGAAUAUGACCUCUGACCGCAUGGUUGGUGGUGGAAAGUUUUUCGGCUUGGGAUGGGCUCGCGGCCUAUCAGCUUGUUGGUGGGGUGAUGGCCUACCAAGGCGACGACGGGUAGCCGGCCUGAGAGGGCGACCGGCCACACUGGGACUGAGACACGGCCCAGACUCCUACGGGAGGCAGCAGUGGGGAAUAUUGCACAAUGGGCGGAAGCCUGAUGCAGCGACGCCGCGUGAGGGAUGACGGCCUUCGGGUUGUAAACCUCUUUCAGCAGGGACGAAGCGUAAGUGACGGUACCUGCAGAAGAAGCGCCGGCCAACUACGUGCCAGCAGCCGCGGUAAGACGUAGGGCGCGAGCGUUGUCCGGAUUUAUUGGGCGUAAAGAGCUCGUAGGCGGCUUGUCGCGUCGACCGUGAAAACUUGGGGCUCAACCCCAAGCCUGCGGUCGAUACGGGCAGGCUAGAGUUCGGUAGGGGAGACUGGAAUUCCUGGUGUAGCGGUGAAAUGCGCAGAUAUCAGGAGGAACACCGGUGGCGAAAGGCGGGUCUCUGGGCCGAUACUGACGCUGAGGAGCGAAAGCGUGGGGAGCGAACAGGAUUAGAUACCCUGGUAGUCCACGCUGUAAACGUUGGGCGCUAGGUGU